GGAGGUGUGGCUCAAUGAUAGAGCAUUUGCCUGGCAUGUGUGAGGCCCUGGGUUCGAUCCUCAGCACCGCAU
Molecule: transfer RNA, 72 nt
Filed under: Ictidomys tridecemlineatus (thirteen-lined ground squirrel)
Lineage: Eukaryota; Metazoa; Chordata; Mammalia; Rodentia; Sciuridae
Also listed under: 1 other name
Description: Spermophilus tridecemlineatus (thirteen-lined ground squirrel) tRNA
Rfam family: tRNA
About the family: Transfer RNA (tRNA) molecules are approximately 80 nucleotides in length.
Source: Rfam by way of RNAcentral